Molecule: RNase P RNA, 370 nt
Filed under: Flavihumibacter petaseus NBRC 106054
Lineage: Bacteria; Pseudomonadati; Bacteroidota; Chitinophagia; Chitinophagales; Chitinophagaceae
Description: Bacterial RNase P class A
Rfam family: Bacterial RNase P class A
About the family: Ribonuclease P (RNase P) is a ubiquitous endoribonuclease, found in archaea, bacteria and eukarya as well as chloroplasts and mitochondria. Its best characterised activity is the generation of mature 5'-ends of tRNAs by cleaving the 5'-leader elements of precursor-tRNAs. Cellular RNase Ps are ribonucleoproteins.
Source: Rfam by way of RNAcentral
GCUUCCCUCCGGGCUAUCGCGGUACGGCAACGUAACGAGGAAAGUCCGGACAGCACAGGGCAAUACACCGGCUAACGGCCGGGGGGCGGAGUUCCGUCAACAGAAAGUGCCACAGAAAAUAACUACCCUUUCGGGAAAAGGUGAAAACGUAGUGUAAGAGACUACGGCUUGCUGCAGUAAUGCAGCUCGUGGGUAAACCUUGUAUGCUGAAAUGCCAUGUAUACCGGUGGUUGAGAGCGGCCCGCUCAAUGAUUCUUCGGAAUCAACGCCGGAGGGUAGGCAGAUAGAUCACGGCAGUAAUGCCGUGGCCAGAUAAAUGAUAGCCACUGCGCAGGCAGUACAGAAUCCGGCUUACAGGAGGGAAGUUUUU